AAUAUUUCGCAAUGGAGGGAACUCUGACGCAGCGACGCCGCGUGAGCGAUGAAGGNCUNNGGAUCNUNAAGCUCUGUCCUUGGNNNNNAAGGUCUUCGGCCUUGACGGUACCUAAGGAGGAAGCCCCGGCUAACUACGUGCCAGCAGCCGCGGUAAUACGUAGGGGGCAAGCGUUGUCCGGAAUUAUUGGGCGUAAAGGGUUCGUAGGCGGCCUUUUAAGUCAGAUGUGAAAGCCCACGGCUUAACCGUGGGACUGCAUUUGAAACUGGAGGGCUUGAGUAUCGGAGAGGGUAGUGGAAUUCCCAGUGUAGCGGUGGAAUGCGUAGAUAUUGGGAGGAACACCAGUGGCGAAGGCGACUUUCUGGACUGUAACUGACGCUGAGGUACGAAAGCGUGGGUAGCGAACA
Molecule: ribosomal RNA, 407 nt
Filed under: uncultured bacterium
Lineage: Bacteria
Description: partial 16S ribosomal RNA
Rfam family: Bacterial small subunit ribosomal RNA
Source: RNAcentral